GAGUCCGCCUAAGAUUAGCCAUGCAUGUCUAAGUAUAAGCAAUCUAUACUGUGAACCUGCGAACGGUUAAUUAAAUCAGUUAUAGUUUAUUUGAUGGUACCUUACUACAUGGAUAACUGUGGUAAUUCUAGAGCUAAUACAUGCCUAAAAGCCCCUUCACGGGGGUGUAUUUAUUAGAUAAAAGACCGUUGGGUUUCGGCCCUCUUGGUGAAUCAUGAUAACUGCUCGAAUCGCAUGGCCUUGCGCCGGCGAUGCUUCAUUCAAAUACCUGCCCUAUCAACUUUCGAUGGUAGGAUAGUGGCCUACCAUGGUUGCGACGGGUAACGGGGAAUUAGGGUUCGAUUCCGGAGAGAGAGCCUGAGAAACGGCUCUCAUGACUAAGGUCAGCAGCAGGCGCGCAAAUUAUCCACUCGCAACACGCGGAGAUAGUGACAAUAAAUAACAAUAGAGGGCUCUUUUGGGUCUUCUAAUUGGAAUGAGUACAAUCUAAAUCCCUUAACGAGGAUCAAUUGGAGGGCAAGUCUGGUGCCAGCAGCCGCGGUAAUUCCAGCUCCAAUAGCGUAUAUUAAAUUUGCUGUGGUUAAAAAGCUCGUAGUCGAACUUCGGCUUCCGCAGGCCGGUCCGCCUAUUUUGGGUGUGUACUGGACCCUGUGGAGGCUUCACUUCCUGGUGAACACGUCUGCCGUUUACUCGGUGGGCGUGGGAACCCGGACUUUUACUUUGAAUAAAUCAGAGUGUUCAAAGCAGGCAUGUUUGCCCGAAUGUUUCAGCAUGGAAAUAAUAGAACAAGACGCGUGUCUCUAUUGGUCUUUUUAGAGGCACCGUAAUGAUGAAUAGGGGCGGUCGGGGGCAUUCGUAUUCAAUUGCUAGAGUGAAAUUCUUGGAUUUAUUGAAGACGAACUACUGCGAAAGCAUUUGCCAAGGACGCUUUCAUUGAUCAAGAACGAACUCGGGGGGAUCGAAACGAUUAGAUACCGUUGUAGUCUCGACAGUAAACGAUGUGAUCGGGGAUUGGUGGAGGGUUUCAUUUUAUGACCUCAUCAGCACCAAAGAGAAAUCUGAAUAACACCCAGGGGGAGUUAUGUCGCAGCUGGAAACUUAAACGAUGACGGAGCACCACAGGAAGGGGAGCCUGCGCUAAUGAACUCACACGGGAACUCACAGUCGAACCAUGAGAUGACGGAUUGAUAGCCCCUUUCUUUGGG
This 1205-nucleotide ribosomal RNA is filed under the name Sterigmatomyces sp. mYJdd1. RNAcentral's name for it is "SSU rRNA". It matches the Rfam family "Eukaryotic small subunit ribosomal RNA", at positions 24 to 1273 of the family's 1831-position model. Lineage: Eukaryota; Fungi; Basidiomycota; Agaricostilbomycetes; Agaricostilbales; Agaricostilbaceae. The record is from RNAcentral.